AUUGAAGGGCUCGCCGGCCAAGUCGCCAUCUUCCAAAGCCUUUUGCUCUUCUAAGGGGAGACGGAGAUGACCGGAGAAGAGGUGUCGGGUCCCCCCGGGCCGAAGGCCCUUCGUCUCCUGUACUUCGUCGGCGCCGGAUGUGGCGUGAGCUGGAGCGGAAGUCCCUUGAACAGCAGCAACACGGGUUGAAGGAUGAAUCGCCCCAUGACCCGGCUGCCAAAGCUGUGCCCAAAGCCAUCGAUUGACUGGUUCUUCAGGUUCUUUUCUGGGAUUAAAAGUGCUUGCUUUGUCUUCCUAAUGUAAUUUUGCUAAUUUGGUUUGGCUGUAAUUUUCGUUCUUUUUGGGUUCAUGUCCUGGAGUUUGGACUUGGGUUUUUUUUUUAAAAUUUGAUUCAGCUGGAAGAACAUGGUAGAAUUGAGCUUGUCGAAGAGACUCUGAUUUGCGGUGGCUGAUGUGAUAACUAUAUCAUUACUUGAGAGUUGGGACCGAAAUGUGAAAGCAUACAAUGAUACCCCCUUACUUCCAUUUA
Long non-coding RNA from Syzygium oleosum, 529 nucleotides. RefSeq lists it as uncharacterized. The transcript has 2 exons. The record is from RefSeq and is a predicted model, not a curated record. Lineage: Eukaryota; Viridiplantae; Streptophyta; Magnoliopsida; Myrtales; Myrtaceae.